AUGGAGGCAGCGGUUGCCAUGCAACGGCCACGACGCCACUCGAGCUGCGGUACAACAAGUUCGUCGGAGCUGCGUUGUAAAUGGACGUCACCGCCCGAGCUGCGAUAUAGCAAGGCCGCCGGAGCUGCGAUGCAGCAAGGCCGCCGGAGUUGCGAUGCAGCAGCAGCCGCCGCCGGAGCUGCGACGCAGCGGACGCGUCGCCGCCGGAGCUGCGAGGCCGCCGGAGCUACGAUGCAGCAGCCGCCGCCGCCGCCGGAGCUGCGAUGCAGCGUUCCUCGACGCCGCCGGAGCUGCAAUGCAGCUACCGUCGAAGCUGCGAUGCAGCGGUCCUCGACGCCGCCGGAGUUUCGGUGCAACGGUCCUCGAUGCCACCAGCGAAAUCCUAUGACGAACCUGUGUCGCAGACUCGCAGCACCAUGCGUGUUGCUAUGCAGCUCCACCGGCGGUGAGACCCGGGUCGCAGCACGACGGGCGUUCCAAACAGCACGCCAACAUGCACUGUAG
This 504-nucleotide ribosomal RNA is filed under the name Triticum aestivum (bread wheat). RNAcentral describes it as "partial small subunit ribosomal RNA". The record is from RNAcentral. Lineage: Eukaryota; Viridiplantae; Streptophyta; Magnoliopsida; Poales; Poaceae.